RNAcentral lists this transfer RNA (77 nucleotides) under bacterium. RNAcentral's name for it is "tRNA-His". It matches the Rfam family "tRNA". From Rfam's summary of the family: Transfer RNA (tRNA) molecules are approximately 80 nucleotides in length. Their secondary structure includes four short double-helical elements and three loops (D, anti-codon, and T loops). The record is from RNAcentral.
GGUGGUCGUAGCUCAAGAGUAGAGCAUCAGCCUGUGGAGCUGAGGGUUGCGGGUGCAAGUCCCGUCGAUCACCCCCA